Molecule: ribosomal RNA, 492 nt
Filed under: uncultured bacterium
Lineage: Bacteria
Description: partial 16S ribosomal RNA
Rfam family: Bacterial small subunit ribosomal RNA
Source: RNAcentral
AGUGAACGCUGGCGGUAGGCCUAACACAUGCAAGUCGAACGGCAGCACAGUAAGAGCUUGCUCUUACGGGUGGCGAGUGGCGGACGGGUGAGGAAUACAUCGGAAUCUACUUUUUCGUGGGGGAUAACGUAGGGAAACUUACGCUAAUACCGCAUACGACCUACGGGUGAAAGCAGGGGAUCUUCGGACCUUGCGCGAUUGAAUGAGCCGAUGUCGGAUUAGCUAGUUGGCGGGGUAAAGGCCCACCAAGGCGACGAUCCGUAGCUGGUCUGAGAGGAUGAUCAGCCACACUGGAACUGAGACACGGUCCAGACUCCUACGGGAGGCAGCAGUGGGGAAUAUUGCACAAAGGGCGCAAGCCUGAUCCAGCCAUACCGCGUGGGUGAAGAAGGCCUUCGGGUUGUAAAGCCCUUUUGUUGGGAAAGAAAAGCAGCAGGUUAAUACCCCGCUGUUCUGACGGUACCCAAAGAAUAAGCACCGGCUAACUUCGUG